CACGUAGGCACCAAGCGUUGUCCGGAUUUAUUGGGCGUAAAGGGCUCGUAGGCGGUUCGGUAAGUCGGGUGGGAAAACUCUGGGCUCAACCCAGAGCCGCCACCCGAUACUGCUGUGACUCGAGUGCGGUAGGGGAGCGGGGAAUUCCUGGUGUAGCGGUGAAAUGCGCAGAUAUCAGGAGGAACACCAGUGGCGAAGGCGCCGCUCUGGGCCGUGACUGACGCUGAAGAGCGAAAGCGUGGGUAGCAAACAGG
Molecule: ribosomal RNA, 254 nt
Filed under: uncultured bacterium
Lineage: Bacteria
Description: partial 16S ribosomal RNA
Rfam family: Bacterial small subunit ribosomal RNA
Source: RNAcentral